This 755-nucleotide ribosomal RNA is filed under the name uncultured bacterium. Its description in RNAcentral is "bacterial SSU rRNA". It matches the Rfam family "Bacterial small subunit ribosomal RNA", at positions 8 to 796 of the family's 1533-position model. The record is from RNAcentral.
AGAGUUUGAUCAUGGCUCAGAACGAACGCUGGCGGCACGCCUAACACAUGUAAGUCGAACGAAGCAUGGUAGCUUGCUACCAUGACUGAGUGGCGCACGGGUGAGUAACACGUGGGAAUUUGCCUAUCGGUGGGGAAUAACCUUUGGAAACGAAGGAUAAUACCGCAUACGCCCUGAGGGGGAAAGAUUUAUCGCCGAUAGAUAAGCCCGCGUUAGAUUAGCUAGUUGGUGGGGUAAUAGCCUACCAAGGCAAUGAUCUAUAGCUGGUCUGAGAGGAUGGUCAGCCACACUGGGACUGAGACACGGCCCAGACUCCUACGGGAGGCAGCAGUGGGGAAUAUUGGACAAUGGGGGAAACCCUGAUCCAGCGAUGCCGCGUGAGUGAAGAAGGCCCUAGGGUUGUAAAGCUCUUUCAGGGGGGACGAUGAUGACGGUACCCCCAGAAGAAGCACCGGCUAACUUCGUGCCAGCAGCCGCGGUAAUACGAAGGGUGCAAGCGUUGUUCGGAAUUACUGGGCGUAAAGCGCGCGUAGGCGGUCUACUAAGUCAGACGUGAAAGCCCUGGGCUUAACCCGGGAAUGGCGUUUGAUACUGGUAGACUAGAGAUUCAGAGAGGUGAGUGGAAUUCCUAGUGUAGAGGUGAAAUUCGUAGAUAUUAGGAGGAACAUCAGUGGCGAAGGCGGCUCACUGGCUGAAUACUGACGCUAAGGCGCGAAAGCGUGGGGAGCAAACAGGAUUAGAUACCCUAGUAGUCC